This 213-nucleotide ribosomal RNA is filed under the name uncultured bacterium. Its description in RNAcentral is "partial 16S ribosomal RNA". It matches the Rfam family "Bacterial small subunit ribosomal RNA", at positions 1289 to 1500 of the family's 1533-position model. The record is from RNAcentral.
CAGUUCAGACUGCAGGCUGCAACUCGCCUGCACGAAGUCGGAAUUGCUAGUAAUCGUAGGUCAGCAUACUACGGUGAAUACGUUCCCGGGCCUUGUACACACCGCCCGUCAAACCAUGUAGAGUUGGCAACACCCGAAGUCGGUAGUCUAACCGCAAGGAGGACGCCGCCGAAGGUGGGGUUGAUGAUUAGGGUUAAGUCGUAACAAGGUAAC